RNAcentral lists this ribosomal RNA (253 nucleotides) under uncultured bacterium. RNAcentral describes it as "partial 16S ribosomal RNA". It matches the Rfam family "Bacterial small subunit ribosomal RNA", at positions 524 to 776 of the family's 1533-position model. The record is from RNAcentral.
UACAGAGGUCCCAAGCGUUGUCCGGAUUUAUUGGGCGUAAAGAGCGUGUAGGCGGCCAGGUAGGUCCGCUGUGAAAACUCGAGGCUCAACCUCGAGCUGUCGGUGGAAACCAUCUGGCUAGAGUCCGGAAGAGGAGAGUGGAAUUCCCGGUGUAGCGGUGAAAUGCGCAGAUAUCGGGAAGAACACCCGUGGCGAAGGCGGCUCUCUGGGACGGUACUGACGCUGAGGUGCGAAAGCGUGGGGAGCAAACAGG